GUUUUGAUUGGAUGGUCUUUUCAUGUAGAGGGGACGUCUCAAGUCGAAGUCACGAUUUCUGCUCAGUUUGGAACCAUCUGUGACUGGAGCCAUGACGCAGCCAGAGCACAUUACUCACUUUUACAGUCACGACUUGGAAAUCCGUGCAGUUUCCAACCAAAAUUACACCGCCACCAUUGAAUUAUUUAAUAGGAUCCAGUUAAGGGAUCCGCAACUGUCGCUGGGCUUGGAGUGAUAUAUAAAUAAGUCUGCGGCUAAAAGAGCCUCCCGCCCCCCCAAUCAGGAUUUGAAACAUCUUCUGAAUAAACCAGGAAGGCGCUGCCUUUUCCA
Molecule: long non-coding RNA, 330 nt
Filed under: Gopherus agassizii (Agassiz's desert tortoise)
Lineage: Eukaryota; Metazoa; Chordata; Testudines; Testudinidae
Description: lncRNA (ENSGAGG00000004537.1)
Source: RNAcentral